AAUUGAAGAGUUUGAUCCUGGCUCAGAUUGAACGCUGGCGGCAUGGCUAAAACAUGCAAGUCGAACGCCUGGAGCAAUCCAGGAGUGGCGAAAGGGCGAGGAAUAGAUUCCUACGUGCCCCAAGGUCGGGGAUACCUCGGAGAAAUCCGAAUCAAUACCCGAUGUGAUCGUGAGAUCAAAGGCUUGCUGCCUUGGGAGCGGGGAAUCUCCUAUCAGCUAGUUGGUGAGGUAAUGGCUCACCAAGGCGAAGACGGGUAGCGGGUGUGAGAGCACGGCCCGCCGCAUCGAGACUGAGACACUGCUCGGACUCCUACGGGAGGCUGCAGUAACGAAUCUUCCGCAAUGCGCGAAAGCGUGACGGGGCAAUGCCGCGUGGUGGAUGAAGCCCUUCGGGGUGUAAACACCUGUCAGGGUUUCGGAACACAAUGACCAGACCCAAAGGAAGAGCCGGCUAACUCUGUGCCAGCAGCCGCGGUAAUACAGAGGGCUCGAGCGUUAAUCGGAAUCACUGGGCUUAAAGCGUGCGUAGGCGGGUGCGUAGGCACCUUGUGAAAUACCUCGGCUCAACCGAGGAAUUGCUUGGUGAACCAUGCACCUUGAGGCAGGUAGGGGUGGCUGGAACGAUAGGUGGAGCGGUGAAAUGCGUAGAUAUCUAUCGGAACGCCAAAGGAGAAGUCAGGCCACUGGGCCUGUCCUGACGCUGAGGCACGAAAGCGUGGGGAGCAAACGGGAUUAGAUACCCCGGUAGUCCACGCCGUAAACGAUGCGCACUAGGUCGGGGAGCUUUCACGGCCUCCCGGCCGAAGCAAAAGUGUUGAGUGCGCCGCCUGGGGAGUACGGUCGCAAGGCUAAAACUCAAAGGAAUUGACGGGGGCUCACACAAGCGGUGGAGCAUGUGGCUCAAUUCGAAGCAACGCGAAGAACCUUACCUGGGUUUGA
This 939-nucleotide ribosomal RNA is filed under the name Phycisphaerae bacterium. RNAcentral's name for it is "bacterial SSU rRNA". It matches the Rfam family "Bacterial small subunit ribosomal RNA", at positions 1 to 984 of the family's 1533-position model. The record is from RNAcentral. Lineage: Bacteria; Pseudomonadati; Planctomycetota; Phycisphaerae.